GAUGAAGAACGUAGCGAAAUGCGAUAAGUAAUGUGAAUUGCAGAAUUCAGUGAAUCAUCGAAUCUUUGAACGCACAUUUCGCCCGCCAGUAUUCUGGCGGGCAUGCCUGUUCGAGCGUCAUUUCAACCAUCAAGCCCCCGGCUUGUGUUGGGGACCUGCGGCUGCCGCAGGCCCUGAAAACCAGUGGCGGGCUCGCUGUCACACCGAGCGUAGUAGAUUUUCAUCUCGCUCAGGGCGUGCUGCGGGUUCCGGCCGUAAAAAGCCUUAUUUACCCAAGGUUGACCUCGGAUCAGGUAGGAAGACCCGCUGAACUUAAGCAUAUCAAUAAGCGGAGGA
RNAcentral lists this unclassified non-coding RNA (336 nucleotides) under soil metagenome. RNAcentral's name for it is "partial contains 5.8S ribosomal RNA, internal transcribed spacer 2, and large subunit ribosomal RNA". The stretch from base 1 to 120 matches the Rfam family "5.8S ribosomal RNA", at positions 35 to 154 of the family's 154-position model. The record is from RNAcentral.